CCCACCCUCCAUUCCUCUGUCUCUCCAUUCCUCCACCUACUCCUCCCAAUUUCUCCUCUUACAGCCCCCCUUCUCACCACCACUUAUAAUGGCACACAGGGCUCCCUCUGAGGUGGACGGCCCGAUGCACAGAGAAUUUCUGACCUUGUGACGUUUGGGAGUGAGGAGAUCCCAUACAGAGGCAUCCAGGUAUUUCCAGAGAUCCUGUGGCAGGUGAGGUCUGCCCUCGCUGGAGCCAACUCGUCUAUAAUAUCUUCCUAACAGCAGAUACCAUAGAGGAGAGGUCGAGGUCCUUCCACUGAAGCACCAAGUGGGGUAUAUAAAGCCACACUGCCCAUGAGGGCUGUGGUGUGAGUCUGCUAGCCGUGAGAGACAGAUGCAUUACAAAGGGAUGGAUUUAGUGCACUCUUUCCUCUCUUACUCACAGCCUGAACAGCCAGUGAACAAUGAAACAAAACUUCUUCCCAAGCCUCAAUGAGGAUUGUGCCAUAGUUUGAAGAUGAAGUCUUGCUCUGUUGCCCAGUCUGGAGUGCAGUGGUACGAUCAUAACUCACUGAAGUCUCAAACUUCUGGGCUCAACCAAUCCUCCCGCUUAACCUCCCAAGUAGCUGGGACGACAGGUGCAUGCCACUACGCAUUGCUAUUAAAAAAAAAAUUGUAGAGAUGGGGUCUUACUAUGUUGCCCAGGCUAGUCUUGAACUCCUGGCCUCAAGCAAUUUUUCCAUCUUGGCCUCUGAAACGCUGGGAUUACAGGUGUGAGACACCACAAGGCCUGAUUUUUUUUUUUUUUUUUUUUUUUUUUACUGGAAAUUGGAUUACAAUCCUUCUGAGUACAAUAUAAAAUACAUUGCUUGUUGUUGAAUAAUUUUAGGAAUGGAGUAGCAUCAUAUGGAGCUUCCAACAUUCUUAUUUUGAUUUUGUAGUUUUUUAAUAAACACAGAAGACUUAACUGUUUUGAAUGAAUUUACCCAUUGCAAGCAAUUAACAUCCAAUCACUUUACUUAAAAUAAUCAAACCAUUUGUGUAUAUAUAUACAGGAUAUAUUUCUACUGUUUACUGUCUCAAAGCAUUUUAACAAGCUAUUGUGCUGGCAGAGUUAAUUAGAUCUGAAAACUGGUAUAAUAAAAACAAUAAAAAACUGUAAGAAUGCAUUAAAAUAGAACACCAAAAUAAUAGAACCUAAGGUUUCUAAAGUUGUAUUUGACAAGUCAAAUGUUCCUUAAUAACUGGAUGCAUCAGAAUACAUUGUUCAUUAUAAUAUUAAAGGCAUGUAAUGAAAUGAAAAUUGAAGCAAUAGAGAAUUCAGUAUGCACAAUUAUUUUAAAUUUAAAAUCUUACCCAUAAUGAACAUAGCUAAAAACAUAAAAGACAAAUGAUAGAGAAAUUAAAAGCAAUUAUCAAAGGAAUUCUCAGCAGAAAUUUCUGAUUUAAA
Molecule: long non-coding RNA, 1432 nt
Filed under: Homo sapiens (human)
Lineage: Eukaryota; Metazoa; Chordata; Mammalia; Primates; Hominidae
Description: HSALNT0376022
Source: RNAcentral